UGCGGGGUAGAGCAGCGGUCAGCUCGUCGGUCUCAUAAGCCGGAGGUCAGUGGUUCGAAUCCACUCCCACGCAUCCA
Molecule: transfer RNA, 77 nt
Filed under: Vibrio phage 6E35.1a
Lineage: Duplodnaviria; Heunggongvirae; Uroviricota; Caudoviricetes; Pantevenvirales; Straboviridae
Description: tRNA-Met
Rfam family: tRNA
About the family: Transfer RNA (tRNA) molecules are approximately 80 nucleotides in length. Their secondary structure includes four short double-helical elements and three loops (D, anti-codon, and T loops). Further hydrogen bonds mediate the characteristic L-shaped molecular structure. tRNAs have two regions of fundamental functional importance: the anti-codon, which is responsible for specific mRNA codon recognition, and the 3' end, to which the tRNAs corresponding amino acid is attached (by aminoacyl-tRNA synthetases). tRNAs cope with the degeneracy of the genetic code in two manners: having more than one tRNA (with a specific anti-codon) for a particular amino acid; and 'wobble' base-pairing, i.e. permitting non-standard base-pairing at the 3rd anti-codon position.
Source: RNAcentral